GACGGAGGGGGCUAGCGUUGUUCGGAAUUACUGGGCGUAAAGAGCGCGUAGGCGGUUUGGUAAGUUGGAAGUGAAAGCCCGGGGCUCAACCUCGGAAUUGCUUUCAAAACUGCUAAGCUAGAGUGUAGUAGGGGAUGAUGGAAUUCCUAGUGUAGAGGUGAAAUUCUUAGAUAUUAGGAGGAACACCGGUGGCGAAGGCGGUCAUCUGGGCUACAACUGACGCUGAGGCGCGAAAGCGUGGGGAGCAAACAGG
Molecule: ribosomal RNA, 253 nt
Filed under: uncultured bacterium
Lineage: Bacteria
Description: partial 16S ribosomal RNA
Rfam family: Bacterial small subunit ribosomal RNA
Source: RNAcentral